RNAcentral lists this long non-coding RNA (329 nucleotides) under Elaeis guineensis (African oil palm). RNAcentral describes it as "long non-coding RNA (EGUI_LNC057429)". Lineage: Eukaryota; Viridiplantae; Streptophyta; Magnoliopsida; Arecales; Arecaceae. The record is from RNAcentral.
AUAGCCACAUAGUCCGACCUCUAUGGAAGUCCACUCAAAGCUUCGAUCUGAUCGAUCUUCUCGGCAGUGCUAGCUCGCGUGAAGAUCUUCUUCUUGACUGAUUUGGAUCUUUUCUUCAAAUUUUUAGAACUUUUUUAGAAGUUGAAGAUAGAUCUUUGGAGGAGAUGAAGAGAUUAAAGAAAGAUGGAGAAGAAACUAUUUUUUUUCUUAUUUUUCUCUCUUCCCAAACACAUAGGAAUAAAACCCUAGAAGACUAGGUUUUGCGCACACCCCAAGAGAGAGGACUCUCCUCUCCUUUUUCAUGCCAAGAACUCAUGCCUAAGACCCCA